GGAGAAGGAGGCUGCCGUAGGUGUAGCUGGAGGAGGCUGCCGUAGCUGGAGGAGGCUGCCGAAGGUGGAGGAGGCCGUGGCUGGAGGAGGCUGGAGGCUGCCGAAGGUGGAGGAGGCUGGAGGAGGCUGCCGUGGCUGCCGAAGGUGGAGGAGGCUGCCGAAGGCACAACACUCAGGAGUGCUGUGAGUUGCAUGACACCUGCAGAGGCUCCAUACUACAGACUACUUCUACUCGGUACUACAGAAACCGGAUCACUUGACAAGCCUGUGUCCUGUUUUGGCCUUCCACACUCUGUAGGAUUGCAUAGGCUCCAUUUCUUCUCCCACAUCACCAUUCCAAAACAACUCCAGAUGUUUCGUUUGUAUUAUGGCCAGUUUCUUUACAUCUGUUACACUACCUGUGUUUUUGCACCCAAAACUGGACUGCUCUAUCUGUUUCUUGUUUUUUAUCAUUAUCACUUGCAUUGCUGUAAAUAUGUUCCAUUAGCUCAGUUUUGCAACUAUGAAGUGUACAGUUUUGUUGUUGUAUUACUGUUACGCUGAGCAAAAAUAAACCUCAAACCUUACUCUUAGGCCUAUGUGAAUUCUUCAUGCGUGUCGUGCUCUGUCAACAGUUUGAUGCUUACAAAGCAUUCCAAGUGUCUGUAUGAUGUUCUACCAUUAUGCUAUGCCUUCACACAGUUAAUAACAAAAGGUAUACAGUAUUAAAAAUGCAUAUUCACACUAGGUUAUUGUCUAACUUGGCACCAUAGCAAUGAGCAUCCAGUGUAUUUCUGUGUUCAAAACAUACAUAAAUACAUUUUAAAAAAAAAUUAAUUGACCCACUCAAGUACUGGUUAUACAGUUGUUGUCUUUUUUUAAUUAUAAUUUAUUUAGUCCACAUGACAGAUCCAUGGCCCUGCUCCAUGCCACUGAUUCAGAGUCGUGUGUAGGGACUACACGUCUCUGCCCUGAUCCUCUUCACUCUGCCUGCAUGCAACGAUGCAUGUUUUUGGCAGGUCUGAUGCAGCCUCAUAAAGGCUAAAGCUGGCCUGCGUCUCACUGCUAGAGAUCUA
This is a long non-coding RNA of Engraulis encrasicolus (European anchovy), 1055 nucleotides long. RefSeq lists it as uncharacterized. The transcript has 2 exons. The record is from RefSeq and is a predicted model, not a curated record. Lineage: Eukaryota; Metazoa; Chordata; Actinopteri; Clupeiformes; Engraulidae.